CUGACUCGUCUGUACGAGAAUCGUGCAGUAGUUAAAAUAGUAGCCUUUGCACCAGUAUUUGACAUUGUCCCGGUAAAAGGGAUGAUAUUGGCAGACGAUGUGAACGGAUCCGCCUGCACAUUGCUUCACUUCGCUAGAUGCUGACAAAUGAUGCAUCAGGGUUUUUUUUCUCUGGACCUUCUUGGUUUUAUCCGUCUACUUGAAGCCAUGGUUCAAAAAGAGCUUACAGAGCAUCAGAGUAGUUGAAAUGUACUGAUCAAGUGAUGGGUACAAAAGCUGCCGAGACACCGACAGCACCAUGAAUGGAGCUGCAGGAACAUCUGGAACCUUGUGAUGACCCCCUGCAUGUGACAACAAGCUCUCAUUUUUUUCAUUUUAUGUGGCCUAAAAAAAUUGUCACUUCAACCCAUGUGUGAAAAUAAAUGUGUUAAUGAGACCAAAGUGCAAAUGUUCUUCAGAGCUUAUUUCUCAAAUAAAAUACCACCAUACCGGUGGUAAAGCAUGGUGGCGGCGGCAUCAUGCUAUGGGAACGCUUCUCAUCAGAGUGGUGAGACUGGUGCUUUUCUCAGAACAGAUAGAAUAAUGGAUGGAUUCUUGAAGAAUGUACUUAUGAUGAUUACUACCCAAAAAUUUGGAAUGGCCCAAUCAGAGUCCGGAUCUAAAUCCUGACUCUUAUUCAAAAAGGUCUGAGUGCUUUGUUAGGAGUAAAAGUUGCUUUAACCAAGUGUUAUAUAAACAGGGUUCCAUAAAAUGUUAUUGGCUGUGCCAUCUCUGUAACAGAAAUUCAUUCAUUCAUUUUCUACCGCUUA
Molecule: long non-coding RNA, 809 nt
Organism: Tachysurus fulvidraco (yellow catfish)
Lineage: Eukaryota; Metazoa; Chordata; Actinopteri; Siluriformes; Bagridae
Exons: 3
Source: RefSeq, a predicted model, not a curated record